UUAAGUUCAGCGGGUAGUCCUACCUGAUCUGAGAUCGAACGUUUGAAAAGCUGUCUUCGCCGAGGAGAGACGUUUAUGAGCUCCAGCGAACCUCCGUUGCCAAAGGUUACCUGGCAGACGACCGCAGGUGUAGAUAGUUAUCACACCCGUGAUGCCGCCGUACACUGGCAAGCUGAUUUGUUUGAGGGGAGCUGACCGCA
Molecule: unclassified non-coding RNA, 200 nt
Filed under: Thelephoraceae sp.
Lineage: Eukaryota; Fungi; Basidiomycota; Agaricomycetes; Thelephorales; Thelephoraceae
Description: partial internal transcribed spacer 2
Source: RNAcentral